Molecule: long non-coding RNA, 1709 nt
Filed under: Homo sapiens (human)
Lineage: Eukaryota; Metazoa; Chordata; Mammalia; Primates; Hominidae
Description: HSALNT0381669
Source: RNAcentral
CCAGGACUGAGGCUCCAGGAAGAGGAAAGAAUGACCCCUUCCAUCGCUGGGGCUGUCUCUGAUGUCUGGAUCCUUUACCUGCUCCCUGUAGGGUGAUUUGGUGUGCGUGAAUGAGGGAUGGAGGGGAGAAGAAACCCAUGUUUCAACUCUGAUCCCAUCAGGAGCAUCUCAGCCUUGCCUGUAGAGCAUGAAGAGCACCGAAGAGGAAGCAUGUAUGUGUCACACACUGUUCAAGGUCGCACAUUGCUCAAGGAGCCCACGAGCAAUCAAGGGAGACAGAUGGAGAUGUGAAUUCACUAUGCUGCCCAGGCUGGUCUCGGACUCCUGACUCCAAGUAAUCCUCCCACCUUAGCUUGCCAAAGUGCUGGGCUUACAGGUAUGAACUACUGCUUCCGGCUGAGAGUUUACUUUUGUUUGCUAGUGGUGUUUUUGAUAUCUUUUCAUAUUUGAGGCUUUGGUGUUAGUGCUAAAAUAUUACACUCACCAUCUGAGGUUUACAGGACUUUUGUUUUAAUAUUAACAACUGUUUAGUUCUGCAUCUUUGCAAGUAUACACAAUAUGCCUACCAGGACUCUGCUUUAUAUCAAUCAAAAGCAAGAAGUAAUAAAGUAAAACUUUGCCUGGCUAGAGGCUUUGGAAGUAUGGAGUAUUCUGGUUUAAUUCUAUUAACUUGGAAGUACAAAGGUGAAAAAAAUUCAAAACCUUAAUUUCCUGUUGAAUGCAAUUUGAAAAUACAGCCAGUGAUUCCACUUUUCUUCUCUAGUAAGUUUGGACAUUCAGAUCUACUUGGUCUUUUAUUAUCACACUCCUAGUGUGCCUUAGACUUAUAUUGUGAAGGUCCCUUUCUAAAACUUUAGAUGUAGGAGGAUGUAAGUGGUGUUGUAUAAGAUCAGACUGGAUAAGAACAGAUAUCUGUAAACAUACUUUUUAGAUUAAAUCUCUGAUUGCCACUUGUUUUCUUAUUUAACUUAUAAAAAUAAAACACAUUAGCUGGAGGAUGGGAGUAGGAAGGAGAUUUAUGUCUUUUAAUUGCAUGUCUUUGUUUCAUAUCAAGACAGAACAUACAGUAUCCCUGGCUUUGGACCUACAGAAGGAAACACAUUUUUCUACCUGCUGUAUGCCAGAGGUUCCUGAACACCUGCAGGGUUUAUUGCAGCACAGAUUGCUAGGCCCUACUCCAGAGUUUCUGAUUCAUCAGGUCUAAGGUGGGGCCUGAGAAUAUGCAUUUAUAAAAAGUUCUCAGGUGAUGCUGGUGGUGCUGGUCCAGAGACUACAUUUUUGAGGACCAUUCUUGUAUACUAACUGUAAAUUGUAGAACUCUAGAAGAAAGCUUACUUGGGUCUGGGAUAAGAAGCACACAGGUUAUGGAGCAAAUCAUGAAAGAUUCAACCCUUGAUCCCAGCCUAGUGUGGAAUUCAGAUAACAUGCAAUACCCAGUGACAUAACACAAUUCUUGGUUUUCACAAUUGCUGCAAGUCAUAGUCUAGUAUCUAGUGAGAAAUUCAGUUUCAUUUGCAAGGUUUGGAGAGGCCAGGUGAUUCUAGUCAAAUAGGAUUUAGUGAUUAACCCCUUGAGAGUAGGAGUUGUUUAUGUCCUUUUUCUCUCCCCCAUCACUUAGCAUUUAGCCUUACUUUAGAAGGGCCUUGUAAUUUUUUUUUAAACUGGUAAAGAGCUUUGAGUGCUUAUUAAAUUGAAAAAUGUGUGUUUUU